CACGAAGGAGAUGCAGUACCCCCUCCCCCACAUACCAGACACUAUACGAGACAGCAUAAGCGUAAAAUGCAUUAGGAUUAGCAUCCCAUAGAGAAACAAAGGAGGACACUCGAGAAUUGGAGUUUCUGACCCUAAGUGAUGAUCAGCACUUAGCUUAGAAAACACCUCACUCUUUCUAGGUUGGACCUGAAAAUGCUUCACAGGUUUGUCCAGCCCCGUACUGAAUGAAGGGGAGCUUGAGUCCUUGCUAAAUGAUCCCUCUUUGAAACCUCAAGUUUUGCCAACAU
This is a long non-coding RNA of Quercus robur (English oak), 287 nucleotides long. RefSeq lists it as uncharacterized. The transcript has 3 exons. The record is from RefSeq and is a predicted model, not a curated record. Lineage: Eukaryota; Viridiplantae; Streptophyta; Magnoliopsida; Fagales; Fagaceae.